RNAcentral lists this long non-coding RNA (228 nucleotides) under Physcomitrium patens. RNAcentral's name for it is "long non-coding RNA (PPAT_LNC008426)". The record is from RNAcentral. Lineage: Eukaryota; Viridiplantae; Streptophyta; Bryopsida; Funariales; Funariaceae.
AUUUGAGAAGAAGAAAGAUUGAAUGCUGAAAUCUGAUUGUAGUUUAGUAGAGAGAAUGAGUCUAUGUUUGUGUGAAACACCAUAAUGUGAAUGGCAGUUCUGUGUGAAGAAUUCCAGUGAUUGGAAUGAGGGUAAUUGUGUGCUGAAAGUUGUGAGGGCGCAGUAUUACAGUUGGAGAUUAUGAGGGUGAAUAUAUUGGUGGAAAUAUCAGUUAUUGGUAUGACUGAA